ACAUCGUGAUGGUAAUCU
This 18-nucleotide non-coding RNA is filed under the name Arabidopsis thaliana (thale cress). Lineage: Eukaryota; Viridiplantae; Streptophyta; Magnoliopsida; Brassicales; Brassicaceae. The record is from RNAcentral.